RNAcentral lists this microRNA precursor (103 nucleotides) under Marmota monax (woodchuck). The record is from RNAcentral. Lineage: Eukaryota; Metazoa; Chordata; Mammalia; Rodentia; Sciuridae.
AGUGGGAUAACUGGGACAAAUGGUGGUUCCAUUCUAGGUUUUCAAUGAAACCUCCAUACUUUUUUCCAGAGUGGUUGCACCAAUUUGCAGUCCCACUGGCAAU